RNAcentral lists this ribosomal RNA (367 nucleotides) under uncultured bacterium. RNAcentral's name for it is "bacterial SSU rRNA". It matches the Rfam family "Bacterial small subunit ribosomal RNA", at positions 527 to 896 of the family's 1533-position model. The record is from RNAcentral.
GUGAGGUACAAGCGUUGCCCGGAUUUACUGGGCGUAAAGUGUUUCGUAGGCGCUUUUGUAAGUUAUGCUUCAAAGACCGAGGCUCAACCUCGGGAAGGGGUGUAAUACUGCAAGAGUUGAGAUAUUUUGGGGCUACUGGAACUAUCGGUGUAGGGGUGAAAUCCGUUGAUAUCGAUAGGAACUCCAAGGGCGAAGGCAGGUAGCUAAGAAUAUUCUGACGCUGAGGAACGACAGCUAGGGGAGUGAAAGGGAUUAGAGACCCCUGUAAUCCUAGCCGUAAACUAUGCUCGCUAGUCCCCCGGAGUAAUUUGGGGGACGUAAGCUAACGCGUGAAGCGAGCCGCCUGGGGAGUACGGUCGCAAGACUA